GAUGAAGAACGCAGCGAAAUGCGAUAAGUAAUGUGAAUUGCAGAAUUCAGUGAAUCAUCGAAUCUUUGAACGCACAUUGCGCCCCCUGGUAUUCCGGGGGGCAUGCCUGUCCGAGCGUCAUUUCUGCCCUCAAGCACGGCUUGUGUGUUGGGUGUGGUCCCCCCGGGGACCUGCCCGAAAGGCAGCGGCGACGUCCGUCUGGUCCUCGAGCGUAUGGGGCUCUGUCACUCGCUCGGGAAGGACCUGCGGGGGUUGGUCACCACCAUGUUUUACCACGGUUGACCUCGGAUCAGGUAGGAGUUACCCGCUGAACUUAAGCAUAUCAAUAAGCGGAGGA
Molecule: unclassified non-coding RNA, 337 nt
Filed under: soil metagenome
Description: partial contains 5.8S ribosomal RNA, internal transcribed spacer 2, and large subunit ribosomal RNA
Rfam family: 5.8S ribosomal RNA (bases 1-120)
Source: RNAcentral